RNAcentral lists this ribosomal RNA (1046 nucleotides) under Bacillus pumilus. RNAcentral's name for it is "bacterial SSU rRNA". It matches the Rfam family "Bacterial small subunit ribosomal RNA", at positions 46 to 1075 of the family's 1533-position model. Lineage: Bacteria; Bacillati; Bacillota; Bacilli; Caryophanales; Bacillaceae. The record is from RNAcentral.
GCUAAUACAUGCAAGUCGAGCGGACAGAAGGGAGCUUGCUCCCGGAUGUUAGCGGCGGACGGGUGAGUAACACGUGGGUAACCUGCCUGUAAGACUGGGAUAACUCCGGGAAACCGGAGCUAAUACCGGAUAGUUCCUUGAACCGCAUGGUUCAAGGAUGAAAGACGGUUUCGGCUGUCACUUACAGAUGGACCCGCGGCGCAUUAGCUAGUUGGUGGGGUAAUGGCUCACCAAGGCGACGAUGCGUAGCCGACCUGAGAGGGUGAUCGGCCACACUGGGACUGAGACACGGCCCAGACUCCUACGGGAGGCAGCAGUAGGGAAUCUUCCGCAAUGGACGAAAGUCUGACGGAGCAACGCCGCGUGAGUGAUGAAGGUUUUCGGAUCGUAAAGCUCUGUUGUUAGGGAAGAACAAGUGCGAGAGUAACUGCUCGCACCUUGACGGUACCUAACCAGAAAGCCACGGCUAACUACGUGCCAGCAGCCGCGGUAAUACGUAGGUGGCAAGCGUUGUCCGGAAUUAUUGGGCGUAAAGGGCUCGCAGGCGGUUUCUUAAGUCUGAUGUGAAAGCCCCCGGCUCAACCGGGGAGGGUCAUUGGAAACUGGGAAACUUGAGUGCAGAAGAGGAGAGUGGAAUUCCACGUGUAGCGGUGAAAUGCGUAGAGAUGUGGAGGAACACCAGUGGCGAAGGCGACUCUCUGGUCUGUAACUGACGCUGAGGAGCGAAAGCGUGGGGAGCGAACAGGAUUAGAUACCCUGGUAGUCCACGCCGUAAACGAUGAGUGCUAAGUGUUAGGGGGUUUCCGCCCCUUAGUGCUGCAGCUAACGCAUUAAGCACUCCGCCUGGGGAGUACGGUCGCAAGACUGAAACUCAAAGGAAUUGACGGGGGCCCGCACAAGCGGUGGAGCAUGUGGUUUAAUUCGAAGCAACGCGAAGAACCUUACCAGGUCUUGACAUCCUCUGACAACCCUAGAGAUAGGGCUUUCCCUUCGGGGACAGAGUGACAGGUGGUGCAUGGUUGUCGUCAGCUCGUGUCGUGAGAUGU